UUCAUGUUUUAGUUGGAAAUUUAAUUAUCUGUGAAAAGAAACUGAAAGAUAUCCCCACAAACAAACAAACAAAAAAAAAACAAACAAAAAAACCAACAACCUAAAAAUAUAUAAGGGUGUGGUUAUAAUGAUUAGUGAAACCUGUGUUGGGUGCCUUAUGUGUUCCUCUUGCUGUGUGGGGUGGGGCCUGGGUACCCCCAUGGUGUACCAGGACAGUUGCUCAGGAACCCUGAAAAACCGGAUGCCAUUUUCUAAAGCUUUUUCUACAUCUGCUUGCAAGCAGAGUGGAGUGGCUGCAGACUACUUCAGAGAUACUUUGUUUUCAUCACUGAAAUGUCCAUAUCUGCUUGCUACAUAGUUCCCUCUGGGAGGAGGAUAGAGAAAAACAACUGGAUCAUUUCUGAGCCACUGAAGAAAGACAGCUAUGAAAACAGACCAAUGCAAAUAAGUCUGUAUCGGAUGAAAAGUUUCCAUGAAAGAAGUACUAAUGCUGAUUGGAGAAAUAAUGGUAUGAACUCAUGUAGACACUCCUCUCCACUUGCUGAAAACCCUAUCAAAAUCUGAAGCUAUCCAAGAGAAGGCAUUAUAGCCCUCAGGAAAAAGCAGCUCAUUUGAUGCUGGAUGCCUGACCCCUGCUACCAUAAUAGCUGUUAAUGGAAACUUCACCUCCUGCAAGGAUAAGAUGGAUUUUUGGCAGCUGUGAGAGAUUAUGAAGAGCAAGAACAAUCUUAGAUGGAAUCAGAAGAAAAGGAAGCAUAUGUACCUUGAGAAACACUCAGCUGGUUUUUAUUAUACACCAAGCCUAUAUUUAUUACGAUGACUAGCCAAGAGAUAGAAAUUGAUAGAUCUCUGCUCUCUGACCAAGGAGGCUAGUGUCAGCUUGAUAAAUCCUUUCUUUCUUCUAGUUUGUACAUGUACAAGUGACUAGAGCUAUUCAAAAU
Molecule: long non-coding RNA, 941 nt
Filed under: Phasianus colchicus (ring-necked pheasant)
Lineage: Eukaryota; Metazoa; Chordata; Aves; Galliformes; Phasianidae
Description: lncRNA (ENSPCLG00000010662.1)
Source: RNAcentral